CAGCUCAAGCAUCUCAUCCGACGUGAGUUCAAGUACAGAUCACACACCCACCAAAGCCCAGAAGAAUGCAGCUACCAGUGAAGAACACAUCUUUCAUCUUUUUGGAAUACUGUUGGACCCAGUGGAUAUUUUUUUUACCUAUGACUCAAAAUAACCAAUGACUUCUUCAAGGGAUGUAACAUAUCUGCAAGUCUGACUGUUUUAAUGAUCUCCUAAGAUAUAUGUAGUUAAUAAGUAUUACAACUUCAGCAAAUAAAAGGCAAUGACUCUGCUCCAAGUUAACAUCUGAAUUUAAAGCAAAGUUGGAUUUACUGGACACUUAAAAGUAAUUAUCUACAGGCACCAAUAGAAGAAGUUUGGAGGAAAAAAUAAUCAAUUCUAGCAAGUUUUUGUCUCCCUAUAGAGCCUGUGAUGUACACCUGACAACUUUGAAUGAUCCUUUUUGGACUUAGC
Long non-coding RNA from Nothoprocta perdicaria, 453 nucleotides. RefSeq lists it as uncharacterized. The transcript has 2 exons. The record is from RefSeq and is a predicted model, not a curated record. Lineage: Eukaryota; Metazoa; Chordata; Aves; Tinamiformes; Tinamidae.